Molecule: long non-coding RNA, 1033 nt
Filed under: Salmo salar (Atlantic salmon)
Lineage: Eukaryota; Metazoa; Chordata; Actinopteri; Salmoniformes; Salmonidae
Description: lncRNA (ENSSSAG00000090495.1, ENSSSAG00020066384.1)
Source: RNAcentral
GCCUAUGGGAGCUGUAGGAAGUGUCACGUUACAGCAAAGAUCCUAAGUUUUCAAUAAAAAGAGUCAAGAAGCCCAAGGAAUGGUCAGAGAGGGCACUUCCUGUACAGAAUCUUCUCAGUAUACUGACCCGUUCAGUGGAGAGAGACAUGGGGGCUGCGGGAGGCGCGAAGCGUCGCACAGAGCGGUGAAGUCAAGAUAAAACUAAAAGAGUAACGCAUGAUUCCUCAGAACAGCUGACACACCCAUAAAGUGCUAUAAUUGAAAAUGUAAAUGAGGAGGUAAAUGAAAACAUGGUAUCAAGCAAAAAAUGUAUUAAGUCGGACAUUAUGUUUAUUAAUCAGGAGAUGGAGGGAGAUUCUAAAUUCAUGUUAAUGACAAUGUUAUCUUCUGUUUUAGAAUGAAACAGAGUAUUGUCUUUUUUUUCCCUUAUCGGACUAUUGUCUUUCACCUAGUCUUUUCUCUCCUCUUUUUCUCUCCCCCUUUCAUGUGUUUUCCUAUAACAGGUGGAUGAAGACAUGCGAGUGCUCGGGCCCUUGCUCUGCUCAUCUGUCUGCGAGGCGCUACCUGGAUUGUGGAUUCUAAGGUUCAUUAAAAAAUGAAGUAAUUAAUGCGUUUGUCAGCACUCUCUUUCUCUUCUCCUGCAGCCAGACUGCACAAAUCAAGCCUUUCUGACUCCGCUGCCCCGGGACCAAUCAGAGACAGAUCUGGGACUGAUACACAUCCUCACACCUUCACCACUUUUGUUUUCAGAGCAGUCUACUCCAAUUUAAAAGAACAUUAGAUGGAUAACCACAAUGCUGGGCAGAGAUUUUUUCUGGAGAAUCCCACUUUUGUUUGUACAGGAUUUGCUCUCGCCUCCUUUGAAGGACAGACUUCAAUAGUUGAAAAAAAUGAAAUAAAUUGUCAACGGUGUGCGUACUGGGAGCGGAGUCAGGUGCAGGAGAGCAGAGAGUUGUGAACAGGCACACACUUUAUUUAGGCAGGAGAAACCAACAGACGGACACCACUGCGUCAAAACUGUCACGAUUCCCAC